AUUGAACGCUGGCGGCAGGCCUAACACAUGCAAGUCGAACGGUAACAUGACUAGCUUGCUAGUUGAUGACGAGUGGCGGACGGGUGAGUAACGCGUAGGAAUCUACCCAGUAGCGGGGGAUAAGCCAGAGAAAUUUGGAUUAAUACCGCAUACGCCCUAAGGGGGAAAGCAGGGGAUCUUCGGACCUUGCACUAUUGGAUGAGCCUGCGUGAGAUUAGCUUGUUGGUGAGGUAAUGGCUCACCAAGGCAACGAUCUCUAGCUGGUCUGAGAGGAUGAUCAGCCACACUGGAACUGAGACACGGUCCAGACUCCUACGGGAGGCAGCAGUGGGGAAUAUUGCACAAUGGGCGCAAGCCUGAUGCAGCCAUGCCGCGUGUGUGAAGAAGGCCCUAGGGUUGUAAAGCACUUUCAGCAGUGAGGAAAGGUUGUAGGUUAAUACUCUGCAACUGUGACGUUAACUGCAAAAGAAGCACCGGCUAACUCCGUGCCAGCAGCCGCGGUAAUACGGAGGGUGCAAGCGUUAAUCGGAAUUACUGGGCGUAAAGCGCGCGUAGGUGGAUUGGUCAGUCAGAUGUGAAAGCCCAGGGCUCAACCUUGGAACUGCAUCUGAUACUGCUAAUCUAGAGUACGGUAGAGGGUAGUGGAAUUUCCCGUGUAGCGGUGAAAUGCGUAGAUAUAGGAAGGAACACCAGUGGCGAAGGCGACUACCUGGACUGAUACUGACACUGAGGUGCGAAAGCGUGGGGAGCAAAUAGGAUUAGAUACCCUGGUAGUCCACGCCGUAAACGAUGUCUACUAGCCGUUGGGAGACUUGAUCUUUUAGUGGCGCAGCUAACGCGAUAAGUAGACCGCCUGGGGAGUACGGCCGCAAGGUUA
This 877-nucleotide ribosomal RNA is filed under the name uncultured marine bacterium. RNAcentral describes it as "bacterial SSU rRNA". It matches the Rfam family "Bacterial small subunit ribosomal RNA", at positions 28 to 896 of the family's 1533-position model. The record is from RNAcentral.